AAUAUAUUUGAGAAAGAAAUCUUAUUCUACGAAACCAAUUUUUGGCUCCAAAGCAUGCAGUGAGCCUCCAAUAUGUAUGACGGUAUCAAUUCCUAUCGCCAUGAGAGAAGCCAUAGUAUCAGCAAGGCUAGAAAGCGGCUUACCUAGCACUCAAUGGUUUAGUAUCGAUGGUCCCUACACAACAGAGCAAAUAUGUUUGGCGUGUGAGACGAAGACAGAAG
Trichoplusia ni (cabbage looper) is the source of this 221-nucleotide long non-coding RNA. RefSeq lists it as uncharacterized. The record is from RefSeq and is a predicted model, not a curated record. The transcript has 3 exons. Lineage: Eukaryota; Metazoa; Arthropoda; Insecta; Lepidoptera; Noctuidae.